GUAGUCCACGCCGUAAACGAUGAUUACUAGCUGUUUGUGAUAUUACAAUAAGCGGCUAAGCGAAAGCGAUAAGUAAUCCACCUGGGGAGUACGCCGGCAACGGUGAAACUCAAAGGAAUUGACGGGGGCCCGCACAAGCGGAGGAACAUGUGGUUUAAUUCGAUGAUACGCGAGGAACCUUACCCGGGCUUGAAAUGCAGACGACCGGCCAAGAAAUUGGCCUUCCAGCAAUGGCGUCUGUGUAGGUGCUGCAUGGUUGUCGUCAGCUCGUGCCGUGAGGUGUCGGCUUAAGUGCCAUAACGAGCGCAACCCACAUUGUUAGUUACUAACAGGUCAAGCUGAGGACUCUGACAAGACUGCCAGCGUAAGCUGUGA
Molecule: ribosomal RNA, 375 nt
Filed under: uncultured bacterium
Lineage: Bacteria
Description: bacterial SSU rRNA
Rfam family: Bacterial small subunit ribosomal RNA
Source: RNAcentral